GACGUAGGGCGCGAGCGUUGUCCGGAUUUAUUGGGCGUAAAGAGCGUGUAGGCGGCCAUGCAGGUCAGCUGUGAAAACUCGAGGCUCAACCUCGAGACGUCGGUUGAAACCGCAUGGCUAGAGUCCGGAAGAGGAGAGUGGAGUUCCCGGUGUAGCGGUGAAAUGCGCAGAUAUCAGGAGGAACACCGGUGGCGAAGGCGGGUCUCUGGGCCGAUACUGACGCUGAGGAGCGAAAGCGUGGGGAGCGAACAGG
Molecule: ribosomal RNA, 253 nt
Filed under: uncultured bacterium
Lineage: Bacteria
Description: partial 16S ribosomal RNA
Rfam family: Bacterial small subunit ribosomal RNA
Source: RNAcentral